RNAcentral lists this ribosomal RNA (434 nucleotides) under uncultured eukaryote. RNAcentral describes it as "bacterial SSU rRNA". It matches the Rfam family "Eukaryotic small subunit ribosomal RNA", at positions 592 to 1018 of the family's 1831-position model. The record is from RNAcentral.
CAAUAGCGUAUAUUAAAGUUGUUGCAGUUAAAAAGCUCGUAGUUGGAUUUCUGGGGCAAGCUCCUGGUCCGCCGCCUUUGUGCGGUGCUGACUGAGUGCAGCGUUGUCUCAUCCUUGUGGGAAUUCCGGUUUGGGCUUCGUUGUCCGGCCGGCGGAACCGCAUCUUUUACUGUGAAAAAUUAGAGUGUUCAAAGCAGGCUAGCGCUUGAAUACAUUAGCAUGGAAUAAUGGAAUAGGACUUUGGUGCUAUUUUGUUUGGUUUAUUGGGACCGAAGUAAUGAUUAACAGGGACAGUUGGGGCCGGUUUAUAUUUCGUUGUCAGAGGUGAAAUUACUUGGAUUUACGAAAGAUAAACUUACUGCGAAAGCAUUCGGCAAGGAUGUUUUCAUUGAUCAAGAACGAAAGUUAGGGGAUCGAAGACGAUCAGAUACCAU